UCCCAGUGUGAUUCUUAGGCAUCUCAGGGCAGAAAGGUGAGCUCUCUAAGUUAGGUGCUGUUACCCAAAGUGGCCUGUAGUGCCCCUAGGGAUAUGUGCUGUUCCAGGAGCAGAUAUCAGAGAGCGGAGGUGAAUGAGGAGCCUAGGGAUGGAUACCCCAGCAUCCCCCUGGAGGCCACCUCGAGUCAUAAACCAACUAAGAUGAUGGCAGAAGGGAAACUAGCAAGAUACACGAGGCAUUCCUUGGGGGUGAAGAAGGAAAAAAAAAUCUUUAUGACCUUCACUGGCUGGGUAAUCACAGACCCACAACCAGGAAGUAAAAUUCUUGAAGCAAGGACCACAUCUAUAAACCUCUUUGGGUUUUGUAAGAUGAGAGACUUGUAAGUGACUGCCCUGAAUGCCUGGCUCUAUCUUUGCAAUGAUGAAUAAAAGAAACAACGUACAUUUUGUUAACA
This 455-nucleotide long non-coding RNA is filed under the name Vulpes vulpes (red fox). RNAcentral describes it as "lncRNA (ENSVVUG00000012671.1)". Lineage: Eukaryota; Metazoa; Chordata; Mammalia; Carnivora; Canidae. The record is from RNAcentral.